UUCCGGCACUCCUCUGUCUCAGGCGAGUUGCCCCAGUUCGCCAUCGCAGCCCGGGACGUGCGCCUCCCGCGGAGCCGCUCGCUCGCGGGAGUCGGAGUCGGGAACCCGGCGUCCGUUGCCAUGGCGACUCCCAGGCUUCCCCACAAGGCGCCCACAGCCUGGCGGCUGCUGCGAUACCCCAGAGGAAAGCUGCACCCCUGUAAAUAACCCUUCAGCCUCCCGCCACGCCCCUGGACCCUGCUCGCUUCCUCCUCUACCCAGGCGCGGAGCUCAGCCUACCUCGUGGACCCGCGCAUUUGCGGGGGCUUGGAUUCCCGAGCUUCUCGCUUCCUAUGCGCGCACCAGACCCGCAGGUGGGUGGCCUUGGCUUUCACGGCCUCCCAGCGUGUGCCAAAGGUCUCCCUCAAGGAGGAGGAAAAACAGUGAACCCAUCUAAUAACUAUGCUCAUGACAUAAUGAGCCCUGCGAUCCCGGACCAAGGCCAUCAUAAGAGGAGAGCAGGCUGCCUAAUAAGCUGUCUCCACCUGCCACAAACGUAGGCGUUCCUGGACAAAAUAUUUCCUUGCAGAGAUUAAACAGAUUUCUAUUUAAUGAGGUCAGAAUAUGAGGCGUUAAGUCUUAAACUAUACCAUCUAGUGUGGAAUUCAAUUUUACCAGGUUUCUACAAUAAUAAGAGUUUAUAGUGAAACUGUUGUCAUCCUUAGUUUUAAAUUAUGUAUCAUUCAUUGUCAACUAAUAGGACACACCUAUUCUGAUAUCAGUAUGUCAUUGCCAUUGUUGUUCUGUAAACACUGGCUAAAUUUCUUUUUAAAAUGUCAUUGUCUGGUUUAGAACUGUCUAUACUACAUCUGCAUUUCAAUAUAUUAUCUACAGAAAAAUGAGUUUUUUCUUCUCUCU
This 897-nucleotide non-coding RNA is filed under the name Pongo abelii (Sumatran orangutan). The record is from RNAcentral. Lineage: Eukaryota; Metazoa; Chordata; Mammalia; Primates; Hominidae.